This 492-nucleotide ribosomal RNA is filed under the name uncultured bacterium. Its description in RNAcentral is "partial 16S ribosomal RNA". It matches the Rfam family "Bacterial small subunit ribosomal RNA", at positions 29 to 507 of the family's 1533-position model. The record is from RNAcentral.
AGUGAACGCUGGCGGUAGGCCUAACACAUGCAAGUCGAACGGCAGCACAGUAAGAGCUUGCUCUUACGGGUGGCGAGUGGCGGACGGGUGAGGAAUACAUCGGAAUCUACUUUUUCGUGGGGGAUAACGUAGGGAAACUUACGCUAAUACCGCAUACGACCUACGGGUGAAAGCAUGGGAUCUUCGGACCUUGCGCGAUUGAAUGAGCCGAUGUCGGAUUAGCUAGUUGGCGGGGUAAAGCCCCACCAAGGCGACGAUCCGUAGCUGGUCUGAGAGGAUGAUCAGCCACACUGGAACUGAGACACGGUCCAGACUCCUACGGGAGGCAGCAGUGGGGAAUAUUGGACAAUGGGCGCAAGCCUGAUCCAGCCAUACCGCGUGGGUGAAGAAGGCCUUCGGGUUGUAAAGCCCUUUUGUUGGGAAAGAAAAGCAGCAGGUUAAUACCCCGCUGUUCUGACGGUACCCAAAGAAUAAGCACCGGCUAACUUCGUG